AAGUCCUUUACUGACGCUAAAGCUCGAAGGUGCGGGUAUCGAACAGGAUUAGAUACCCUGGUAGUCCGCACGGUAAACGAUGGAUGCCCGCUGUUUGCGAUAUACUGUGAGCGGCCAAGCGAAAGCGUUAAGCAUCCCACCUGGGGAGUACGCCGGCAACGGUGAAACUCAAAGGAAUUGACGGGGGCCCGCACAAGCGGAGGAACAUGUGGUUUAAUUCGAUGAUACGCGAGGAACCUUACCCGGGCUUGAACUGCAGCAGAACGAUUGAGAGAUCAUGAGGUCCUUCGGGACUGCUGUGGAGGUGCUGCAUGGUUGUCGUCAGCUCGUGCCGUGAGGUGUCGGCUUAAGUGCCAUAACGAGCGCAACCCCUCUCUUCAGUUGCCAUCACUUCGGGUGGGCACUCUGGAGACACUGCCACCGUAAGGUGUGAGGAAGGUGGGGAUGACGUCAAAUCAGCACGGCCUGUACGUCCGGGGCUACACACGUGUUACAAUGGGUGGUACAGAGCGUCGGCCGCCGGCAACGUCGGUCCAAUCGUGAAAUCCAUCCUCAGUUCGGACUGGGGUCUGCAACCCGACCCCACGAAGCUGGAUUCGCU
RNAcentral lists this ribosomal RNA (601 nucleotides) under uncultured bacterium. RNAcentral describes it as "bacterial SSU rRNA". It matches the Rfam family "Bacterial small subunit ribosomal RNA", at positions 730 to 1336 of the family's 1533-position model. The record is from RNAcentral.